This 497-nucleotide ribosomal RNA is filed under the name uncultured bacterium. RNAcentral's name for it is "partial 16S ribosomal RNA". It matches the Rfam family "Bacterial small subunit ribosomal RNA", at positions 28 to 507 of the family's 1533-position model. The record is from RNAcentral.
GAUGAACGCUGGCGGCGUGCCUAAUACAUGCAAGUCGAGCGAACGGACGAGAAGCUUGCUUUUCUGAUGUUAGCGGCGGACGGGUGAGUAACACGUGGAUAACCUACCUAUAAGACUGGGAUAACUUCGGGAAACCGGAGCUAAUACCGGAUAAUAUUUUGAACCGCAUGGUUCAAAAGUGAAAGACGGUCUUGCUGUCACUUAUAGAUGGAUCCGCGCUGCAUUAGCUAGUUGGUAAGGUAACGGCUUACCAAGGCAACGAUGCAUAGCCGACCUGAGAGGGUGAUCGGCCACACUGGAACUGAGACACGGUCCAGACUCCUACGGGAGGCAGCAGUAGGGAAUCUUCCGCAAUGGGCGAAAGCCUGACGGAGCAACGCCGCGUGAGUGAUGAAGGUCUUCGGAUCGUAAAACUCUGUUAUUCGGGAAGAACAUAUGUGUAAGUAACUGUGCACAUCUUGACGGUACCUAAUCAGAAAGCCACGGCUAACUACGUG